RNAcentral lists this ribosomal RNA (468 nucleotides) under uncultured bacterium. RNAcentral describes it as "partial 16S ribosomal RNA". It matches the Rfam family "Bacterial small subunit ribosomal RNA", at positions 28 to 507 of the family's 1533-position model. The record is from RNAcentral.
GACGAACGCUGGCGGCGUGCUUAACACAUGCAAGUCGAACGGAAAGACCCUGCGUUUGUGGGGUGCUCGAGUGGCGAACGGGUGCGUAACACGAGAGUAACCUACCCUUGACUUUCGGAUAACUUCAGGAAACUGGGGUUAAUACAGUAUAGGAGCUCCUGCUGCAUGGUGGGGGUUGGAUAGUUUCGGCUGGCGGGGAUGGACGCGCGGCUUAUGAGCUUGUUGGUGGGGUAGUGGCUUACCAAGGCAUUGACGGGUAGCCGGCCUGUGAGGGUGACCGGCGACAAUGGGACUGAGAUACGGACCAGACUCCUACGGGAGGCAGCAGUGGGGAGUAUUGCACAAUGGGAGGAAGUCUGAUGCAGAAACGCCGCGGGCGUGAUGACGGCCUUUGGGUUGUGAACCGCUGUCGCCUGUGACGAAGCGUGAGUGACGGUAAUGAGUAAAGAAGCACCGGCUAACUACGUG